RNAcentral lists this ribosomal RNA (1281 nucleotides) under metagenome. Its description in RNAcentral is "SSU rRNA". It matches the Rfam family "Eukaryotic small subunit ribosomal RNA", at positions 483 to 1790 of the family's 1831-position model. The record is from RNAcentral.
AUGCCGGGCCUUUGUAGGUCUGGCAAUUGGAAUGAGAACAAUUUAAACCCCUUAUCGAGUAUCAAUUGGAGGGCAAGUCUGGUGCCAGCAGCCGCGGUAAUUCCAGCUCCAAUAGCGUAUAUUAAAGUUGUUGCAGUUAAAAGCUCGUAGUUGGAUUUGUGGCUGUCACGGGCGGCCUAUCACUUAGUGUUAGUGCUUGCCUGUGUCGCCAUCCUUGGGUGGAGCCCGUGUGGCAUUAGGUUGUCGUGCGGGGGAUGCCCACCGUUUACUGUGAGAAAAUUAGAGUGUUCAAAGCAGGCUUAUGCCGUUGAAUAUGUUAGCAUGGAAUAAUAAGAUAGGACCUCGGUACUAUUUUGUUGGUUUGCGCACCGAGGUAAUGAUUAACAGGGACAGUUGGGGGUAUUCGUAUUCCAUUGUCAGAGGUGAAAUUCUUGGAUUUCUGGAAGACGAACUACUGCGAAAGCAUUUACCAAGGAUGUUUUCAUUAAUCAAGAACGAAAGUUAGGGGAUCGAAGAUGAUUAGAUACCAUCGUAGUCUUAACCAUAAACUAUGCCGACAAGGGAUUGGCGGAGUUUCGUUUUGUCUCCGUCAGCACCUUAUGAGAAAUCACAAGUCUUUGGGUUCCGGGGGGAGUAUGGUCGCAAGGCUGAAACUUAAAGAAAUUGUCGGAAGGGCACCACCAGGAGUGGAGCCUGCGGCUUAAUUUGACCCAACACGGGAAAACUUACCAGGUCCAGACAAAGUGAGGAUUGACAGAUUGAGAGCUCUUUCUUGAUUCUUUGGGUGGUGGUGCAUGGCCGUUCUUAGUUGGUGGAGUGAUUUGUCUGGUUAAUUCCGUUAACGAACGAGACCCCUGCCUGCUAAAUAGCCUAGCAAAUGAGUUUUCAUUCGCCGGGGCUUCUUAGAGGGACGUGCAUUCUAUUAGAUGCAGGAAGAUAGGGGCAAUAACAGGUCUGUGAUGCCCUUAGAUGUCCUGGGCCGCACGCGCGCUACACUGAUGCGUUCAACGAGUUCUUCCUUGGCCGAGAGGCCUGGGCAAUCUUUUGAACGCGCAUCGUGAUAGGGAUUGACACUUGCAAUUAUUUGUCAUGAACGAGGAAUUCCUAGUAAACGCAGAUCAUCAAUCUGCAUUGAUUACGUCCCUGCCCUUUGUACACACCGCCCGUCGCACCUACCGAUUGAAUGGUCCGGUGAAGCCUCGGGAUUGUGGCGAGUUUCCUUUAUUGGGAGUUUGUCGCGAGAACUUGUCUAAACCUUAUCAUUUAGAGGAAGGUGAAGUC